UGCCGAAACGUACCGAUAUCAGGUACGUCCGCGAGCUGUGGCGGGCGCGCGCUGACGACGGCAGCCGCUG
Molecule: non-coding RNA, 70 nt
Filed under: Chloroflexota bacterium
Lineage: Bacteria; Bacillati; Chloroflexota
Source: RNAcentral